UACAGAGGUCUCAAGCGUUGUUCGGAUUCAUUGGGCGUAAAGGGUGUGUAGGUGGCGCCGUAAGUCGGGUGUGAAAUCUCCACGCUCAACGUGGAGGCGCCACCUGAAACUGCCGUGACUCGAGUCCGGUAGGGGAGUGUGGAAUUCCCGGUGUAGCGGUGAAAUGCGCAGAUAUCGGGAGGAACACCAGUGGCGAAGGCGGCACUCUGGGCCGGUACUGACGCUGAGGAGCGAAAGCGUGGGGAGCGAACAGG
RNAcentral lists this ribosomal RNA (254 nucleotides) under uncultured bacterium. RNAcentral describes it as "partial 16S ribosomal RNA". It matches the Rfam family "Bacterial small subunit ribosomal RNA", at positions 524 to 776 of the family's 1533-position model. The record is from RNAcentral.